RNAcentral lists this unclassified non-coding RNA (262 nucleotides) under Hevea brasiliensis (rubber tree). Lineage: Eukaryota; Viridiplantae; Streptophyta; Magnoliopsida; Malpighiales; Euphorbiaceae. The record is from RNAcentral.
GUUCAACUCUCACCCCAACCAUCAACGAAAAUGUAGCUGCAGGUCUUGGGUGCUUUGAAACCCUCAUUAAAUUAGUAAAUUGUCUCGUAUUUAAUAAUUCAAACUAUUAGAUGAAACGGCCACAUGGUCGUGCAUGUUGCAAACCUAACAUAACUAACAAAGGUUUCCUCUAUUGAGUCGGAUCAAGGAUUUUAACUUUAUGGUUUUGGAUUAAAAAAUCCCUCUAAUUUACGGUGUCCGAAUCCUAAUUUUUUUUCACUUA